Molecule: non-coding RNA, 94 nt
Organism: Caerostris extrusa
Lineage: Eukaryota; Metazoa; Arthropoda; Arachnida; Araneae; Araneidae
Source: the annotation of a GenBank genome assembly
AACGGCCAUACCAUGCUGAAUAUACCGGUUCUAAGCAUCAUUGGGCGCGGUCAGUACUUGGGUGGGUGACCACCUGGGAACACCGCGUGCCGUU